UAUUUUGUAGUUGAAUUGUAGUGGUUUAUCUUUCUGAUCUGAAUGCUGAAUAAUCUUGAUGGUGUCAUGCUAAUAACUUCAUGCAUAAAACACACUUAUGAAGAGGGCUCAUCGUCAAUAAUAGUGGAUAUAAAUCCAUACUUCCAAUAGUCUUCAUGGUAAUUUUGAAUUUUUUAAUGAUUUCUUGGCAGAUCUGAUUAGCCUGUCAUUGUUCUAAACCUCAAGUGGCUGAUGAAGAGCUUGUCAUAGGAGGAGAAGUGCCAGCAUUUCAGCCAUUUUUUUCUGUUGCUCACUUUUGCUUGUAUUAGUAGAAUUAGAUUCAGUCUGAGGUUUCUUUACAGAAAUCUUUUAAAGCCACUUGUCCAUUUUGUGAAGGUCUCUUUAUUGAAACUCAAGGACGUUUGCCAUAUAACCACUAAUGAGGCACCUUUAAAUGAAAAUGCUUUCCAGAAUUCUAGAACUGAACCCACAAGUGGAGCUUCCUCAGCCUUUUUGCUGUGGAGCUGCCUCAUGAUUCAUCUGUAAACCCAACCAGACAGGACUGUCCAACAUUUGGACUGAACAAAGGCAGCAGUGAUCAUCUUUAUACUUAGUAAUAGGAAAGCAUAAUUUGUUUCUUGUUUUUCUUGUUUUUUGAUUUGAAAUACUUAGGAACAGAAGUUCUAAUAUUUUCUGUCUGCACUCCAAGGGAUUGGUUCAGAUGCUCCUGCAUUGGAGACCACAGGAAUAACAAAAAAAUUUCUAGAACCCUGGAGAAGGUUGAACCUACUAAGGGGGCUAAAAGGACCCUAUAGAAGGAGGCAGCCAAGACCAGUCAUACGACUCAUCAACCGAGCACAAAACCACCACAAAAACUGAUAGAACUGAUAGCAAAGGAAAAGUACCAUGGCCCUAGUUCUCUUCAGAGGAUGACAGCAUCACCACUCGUUGUAGACAUCAUGGCAGUGGAGACUAAGGCCAGCCCUGCUUCCUCAUGUGCAGUUCCUGUCACAGCAUUCAUAACCCUGUCACCAAUAUGAGAACUACCUCAGGCUAGCCUGCUGGAAGAUAAGAAACAACAUGGACCAGAGCCAAGUCAUCCUAGCCAAGGCUAUCCUAGACCAACCAACACAGCCACAUUCUCAGCUGAUCACAGAUGCAUGAGCAAGCCCAGCCAAGAUCUGCAGAACCACCCAGAGAAACCCAUAGACUCAUGAAAAAUCAUAAAUGUUUGUUGUUUAAGCAACUAAGUUUGGGGAUGGUUUGUUACAUACUAGUAGUUAACUGAUACAAACAACCAUGCUGGACCACUAUACUAUAUUUUCCUUCAAAUGAUACUGGCUUCACUUGACUCUAGGAUCCUCCAGGAAUGGAUAGCUCCAGCUGUGAAGAACCUUCCUUUAGACUAUCACCUCAUUGCUCCUCAUCCCUGUCUUACCCCUGCCCCUACCAUUAUGCCAACCCAUAAAGGCAGUUAUAAUUAUUCCUCACCUUUAUUCCUUAGUUUUUUCUGGAGUAGAGAGGAAACCAGGGUGCCUCAACUCUAGCACAAUUUUGAGCUCUGUUUCCUUGCCUACUUCUUUGCCCAUCUCUCCAUCAUUUAGGAGGUGGGUUGGAAUUAGCCACAGUCAGUUGUGCCAAAAUAAUAUACCAGGGUAAUGAGAAGAAGGCACAGAUAGCGCUGGGAAUCAACCCCUCGCACCUUUGGCCUGUCUCUCAGGGUGAGCUUCUUACUCAGUAGUGGUGGGGACCCAAAGUCCCUGAAGGCAUGCUCCUGCUUUGUCACCUGAUCCCCAAAUGAAACCUUGCAAAGCUAAAUUCUCCCUGCCUGCCAGGACUCAGGCAGGGGGCAGCAAGCAGUACCUACAUAGGACUGAAUGGCCCCAGCUGCUCAACUCGAAUUUAAAAAUAAUUUGGCAAUGUGUUCCACAGAGUGAAAGCCUUCUGGGGCAUUUCUGCCAGAUGCCUCCAGCUACUGGGUUCCCACGGAAAGGGAGUGUCAAGUCCUGGGCCCAGAAGAUAUUCUGGGGAUCUGGAACAGGGUACAUA
This 2028-nucleotide long non-coding RNA is filed under the name Homo sapiens (human). Its description in RNAcentral is "HSALNT0307044". The record is from RNAcentral. Lineage: Eukaryota; Metazoa; Chordata; Mammalia; Primates; Hominidae.